Molecule: ribosomal RNA, 253 nt
Filed under: uncultured bacterium
Lineage: Bacteria
Description: partial 16S ribosomal RNA
Rfam family: Bacterial small subunit ribosomal RNA
Source: RNAcentral
UACGAAGGGGGCUAGCGUUGUUCGGAAUUACUGGGCGUAAAGGGCGCGUAGGCGGUGUGUCAAGUCAGGCGUGAAAGCCCCGGGCUCAACCUGGGAACCGCGCUUGAUACUGGAGAGCUUGAGUCCGGGAGAGGUGAGUGGAACUCCGAGUGUAGAGGUGAAAUUCGUAGAUAUUCGGAAGAACACCAGUGGCGAAGGCGGCUCACUGGCCCGGUACUGACGCUGAUGUGCGAAAGCGUGGGGAGCAAACAGG